This 468-nucleotide ribosomal RNA is filed under the name uncultured bacterium. RNAcentral describes it as "partial 16S ribosomal RNA". It matches the Rfam family "Bacterial small subunit ribosomal RNA", at positions 28 to 507 of the family's 1533-position model. The record is from RNAcentral.
GACGAACGCUGGCGGCGUGCUUAACACAUGCAAGUCGAACGGAAAGACCCUGCUUUUGUGGGGUGCUCGAUUGGCGAACGGGUGAGUAACACGUGAGUAACCUGCCCUUGACUUUGGGAUAACUUCAGGAAACUGGGGCUAAUACCGGAUAGGAGCUCCUGCUGCAUGGUGGGGGUUGGAAAGUUUCGGCGGUUGGGGAUGGACUCGCGGCUUAUCAGCUUGUUGGUGGGGUAGUGGCUGACCAGGGCUUUGAAGGGUAGCCGGCCUGAGAGGGUGACCGGCCACAAUGGUACUGAGAUACGGACCAGACUGCUACGGGACGCAGCAGUGGGAAAUAUUGCACAAUGGGCGGAAGCCUGAUGCAGCAACGCCGCGUGCGGGAUGCCGGCCUUCGGGUUGUAAACAGCUUUCGACUGUGACGAAGCGGGAGUGACGGUAAUGGGUAAAGAAGCACCGGCUAACUACGUG